UACGUAGGUGGCAAGCGUUGUCCGGAUUUAUUGGGCGUAAAGCGAGCGCAGGCGGUUUCUUAAGUCUGAUGUGAAAGCCCCCGGCUCAACCGGGGAGGGUCAUUGGAAACUGGGAAACUUGAGUGCAGAAGAGGAGAGUGGAAUUCCAUGUGUAGCGGUGAAAUGCGUAGAUAUAUGGAGGAACACCAGUGGCGAAGGCGGCUCUCUGGUCUGUAACUGACGCUGAGGCUCGAAAGCGUGGGGAGCAAACAGGAUUAGAUACCCUGGUAGUCCACGCCGUAAACGAUGAGUGCUAAGUGUUGGAGGGUUUCCGCCCUUCAGUGCUGCAGCUAACGCAUUAAGCACUCCGCCUGGGAAGUACGGUCGCAAGAUUAAA
RNAcentral lists this ribosomal RNA (376 nucleotides) under uncultured bacterium. RNAcentral's name for it is "bacterial SSU rRNA". It matches the Rfam family "Bacterial small subunit ribosomal RNA", at positions 524 to 898 of the family's 1533-position model. The record is from RNAcentral.